GACCAGGGUUGGGCACCCCUGUUGUAACCAGUAACAUGACUGGAGCAGCAGCAUUCAGGGUUAAAUCACUCCCACGUGACUAACACCAGACCUGCACUAAGCCUGUCAGUAAUUAUAGCGAUGAGGCUGAACUCACAGGUCGGAUCCCAUUGCAUGUUGUUAAAACACUGAUGCAUUUAGCACAUACUAUACAUGUUUCCAUGCGUCAGCUCCAGAUAUGAAUGCAGUCCGACAGAUCUCAUUAACAUCUGAUCUUUUUACCUGCGGUCAUCUGUAAGUUUCUUUCCUGGUCCUGCUGACUUGAAUUUUAUAUCCUUCUUGAUGUCGUCGAAAAACUUCUUCAUUCUUAGCGAUAAACUAUGUGCAAAAAUUUUAUUUAAAAAA
Sinocyclocheilus anshuiensis is the source of this 384-nucleotide long non-coding RNA. RefSeq lists it as uncharacterized. The transcript is spliced from 2 exons. NCBI's taxonomy places the organism in Eukaryota, Metazoa, Chordata, Actinopteri, Cypriniformes, Cyprinidae. The record is from RefSeq and is a predicted model, not a curated record.